RNAcentral lists this ribosomal RNA (413 nucleotides) under Acanthopagrus latus (yellowfin seabream). RNAcentral's name for it is "partial 16S ribosomal RNA". It matches the Rfam family "Bacterial large subunit ribosomal RNA", at positions 1990 to 2549 of the family's 2925-position model. Lineage: Eukaryota; Metazoa; Chordata; Actinopteri; Spariformes; Sparidae. The record is from RNAcentral.
GUAUGAAUGGCAUCACGAGGGCUUAGCUGUCUCCCCCUCCCAGUCAAUGAAAUUGAUUUUCCCGUGCAGAAGCGGGAAUAAGAACAUAAGACGAGAAGACCCUAUGGAGCUUAAGACGCCAGGGACAGCUCAUGUUAAACACCCCAGAAACAAAGGGAAUAAACUUAGUGAAACCCUGCCCUAGUGUCUUUGGUUGGGGCGAACCACGGGGAAAAACUUAACCCCCAUGCGGAAUAGGAAUACUAUUUUCCUAGACUCAAGAGCUCCCGCUCUAAUAGACAGAAUUUCUGACCAAAAGGAUCCGGCAAUGCCGAUCAACGGACCGAGUUACCCUAGGGAUAACAGCGCAAUCCUCUUUAGAGUCCCUAUCGACAAGAGGGUUUACGACCUCGAUGUUGGAUCAGGACAUCAUG